AUCAAGGAACGAUAAAACGAUCCCAAGUGACGAAUUAAGCGCGAGGAUUGCUCGUUUCGCUCGAAGGUGCUAAGGGCUUAGGAGUGCUUACGCAUCGAAAACGUUAUAGGUAAUCCCCAGACUUGAUGGAUUAGUGCAGCGGAGGACUCGACGGUGGCCACAUGUAUUUUUAAACCGAUUAAUUUCAGUUAUGGUAUUUAUUUCUUAAUUAUUUUCUGGGAUAUUUUUAUGUAAAUUAGACUUUUAGACUGUUUGUUUUUAUUUCGAACUUUUAAGCUACAAACUCAACAUAAACCUGAUUUUAU
Gossypium arboreum is the source of this 305-nucleotide long non-coding RNA. RefSeq lists it as uncharacterized. The transcript has 3 exons. The record is from RefSeq and is a predicted model, not a curated record. Lineage: Eukaryota; Viridiplantae; Streptophyta; Magnoliopsida; Malvales; Malvaceae.